ACUUUCAACAACGGAUCUCUUGGUUCUGGCAUCGAUGAAGAACGCAGCAAAAUGCGAUAAGUAAUGUGAAUUGCAGAAUUCAGUGAAUCAUCGAAUCUUUGAACGCACAUUGCGCCCGCCAGUAUUCUGGCGGGCAUGCCUGUUCGAGCGUCAUUUCAACCCUCAA
This 166-nucleotide ribosomal RNA is filed under the name Fusarium sp. RNAcentral describes it as "5.8S ribosomal RNA". It matches the Rfam family "5.8S ribosomal RNA". Rfam says of the family: 5.8S ribosomal RNA (5.8S rRNA) is a component of the large subunit of the eukaryotic ribosome. It is transcribed by RNA polymerase I as part of the 45S precursor that also contains 18S and 28S rRNA. Functionally, it is thought that 5.8S rRNA may be involved in ribosome translocation. Lineage: Eukaryota; Fungi; Ascomycota; Sordariomycetes; Hypocreales; Nectriaceae. The record is from RNAcentral.